Molecule: ribosomal RNA, 461 nt
Filed under: uncultured bacterium
Lineage: Bacteria
Description: bacterial SSU rRNA
Rfam family: Bacterial small subunit ribosomal RNA
Source: RNAcentral
AGACAUAAAAGUAGCAAUACUUUGGUGGCGACCGGGCGCACGGGUGAGUAACGCGUAUGCAACCUACCAUCAGAGGGGAAUAACCCGGCGAAAGUCGGACUAAUACCGCAUAAAAACAGGGGCACCGCAUGGUGAUAUUUGUUAAAGAAAUUCGCUGAUAGAUGGGCAUGCGUUCCAUUAGGUAGUUGGUGAGGUAAACGGCUCACCAAGCCGACGAUGGAUAGGGGAACUGAGAGGGUUGGUCCCCCCACACUGGUACUGAGACACGGACCAGACUCCUACGGGAGGCAGCAGUGAGGAGUAUUGGUCAAUGGGCGGGAGCCUGAACCAGCCAAGUCGCCGUGAAGGAAGAAGGAUCUAUGGUUCGUAAACUUCUUUUGCAGGGGAAUAAAGUGCAGGACGUGUCCUGUUUUGUAUGUACCCUGAGAAUAAGGAUCGGCUAACUCCGUGCCAGCCGCCGC